AUGGUGGGCGACCUCUCCCUCCUCGCCUCCGCAUCUGCCUCCCCCGUCAUCCUCGCGCCCUCCAAGGAGCUCCAUGGCGUCCUGCCGUUCCAGGGGAAGAGGUCCCAGCAGGACAUGGGGAGAAGCGCCGCCGUGCAGCUCUCCCCGCAGCAGCACCUCCUCGAGGGCGCCUACCAGGCGCAGCAGCCCCUGCAGAUGAUGGUCCCCGGGAUCGGCCAGGCUGCCGCCGCCGCCUACCAGACCUUCGACAGCGCCGCGCUCAUCGACGUGCAAGAUUCCCACCCCGAUUCGGUUCGACUUAGCCUUGGGAUUGCUGAGCAGUGUGCAAGGCAAGAGAAAAUCCUAAAGUUUCUAAUGUCAGGUCCUGAUGUCAAAGAACUUGAUGCCUCUUUGCUUACUGAAUUUACGGGACAUCAGAUGCUAUCAGCUAAUAUGGGUGGUCAACCAUAUACCUCUGAUGACAAGUUAUCUGUCUAUGAGUUUGGAUUGGAGGAGCCUCUGCAGUAUCUAGCAAAAAAUCAACUUAUCAUCCCUGAUGACAAGUUAUCCAUCUACGAGUUUGGAUUGGAGGAGCCUCUGCAGUAUCUAUCAGAAAAUCAGCUUAUCAUCCCUGAUCCACUUUUGGAAUUUGCUCAGUCCCAAGGUGCCCUUGCUAUAGAUGAAAAUGGCCGGGUCAUCUUCACUGGCAGUGGAGAGGAGAUGAGAGACUUACUUUCGGUUUUCUUAGAGUUCAAUGUACCUAAACGAGAACCAAGUGGUUGCAAGGCUGCAUAUUUAGUUCCAUACUUCGACAGGAAAAGGGGCCGAAAUAGUAGUCAAUCCAAUUCAAAAUCAGCAAGCACCGCAGUUGAUGCUCCAAAAAGCAAGGCAAGUGUGAAGGCAAAAUCUCCAUCGAAGAAGAAACAGAAAGGAAAAACCAUCAAUGAACGUGACAUGUAUCAGAAUAACUAUUUCCAUGCCAGCGAAGCUUUUUUUUCAAUCCUUCUGGACAAGGACAACAGCUCGACAAUUCUCUCACUGAAGAAAGCAGGUCCUGAGAUCACUGAACUGUUGACACAAUGCUCUAUUGGCAUUGCUGGAACUGGCCUGGCUGUUCUUCUGUCGGUUGUGUGCAAGAUUGCCAUCGGCGGGAGGACUCCUUUUGCCGCCUCCCGACUGCUGCACACAGGCGUUGGAUUUGGGCUCUUCUGGCUCUCACAUGCGGUAAAUGGAUUGCGGGACACGAUCACCAGCGUAUUUAGAGGCCCAGUUGAUACGAAGUUGGAGGAUGAGGUUGCUGUGAAGAUACAAAGAAGCAUGAAUGAUAUUCUCUUCAGGGCCGUAAGUCUCCUGGCAAUCACUGCUUUGAGGUUUGCAUGA
This 1359-nucleotide ribosomal RNA is filed under the name Triticum aestivum (bread wheat). RNAcentral's name for it is "partial small subunit ribosomal RNA". Lineage: Eukaryota; Viridiplantae; Streptophyta; Magnoliopsida; Poales; Poaceae. The record is from RNAcentral.